AAAAGCUCAAAUUUGAAAUCUGGUACUUUCAGUGCCCGAGUUGUAAUUUGUAGAAUUUGUCUUUGAUUAGGUCCUUGUCUAUGUUCCUUGGAACAGGACGUCAUAGAGGGUGAGAAUCCCGUUUGGCGAGGAURCCUUUUCUCUGUAAGACUUUUUCKAAGAGUCSAGUUGUUUGGGAAUGCASCUCAAAGUGGGUGGUAAAUUCCAUCUAAAGCUAAAUAUUGGCSAGAGACCGAUWGCGAACAAGUACAGUGAUGGAAAGAUGAAAAGAACUUUGAAAAGAGAGUGAAAAAGUWCGUGAAAUUGUUGAAAGGGAAKGGCMUUUGAUCARACAUGGUGUUUUUUGCAUGCACUCKCCUCUCRYGGGCUUGGGCCUCUCAAAAAUUUCACUGGGCCAACAUCAAUUCUGGCAGCAGGAUAAAUCAUUAAGAAUGUAGCUACUUCSGUAGUGUUAUAGCUUUUUGGAAUACUGUUWKCCGGGAUUGASGACUGCSCUUCSGCWASGAUGUUGGCMUMAUGGKKAAAUGCCKCCCGUCUUGAAACACRGACCAAUAGC
Molecule: ribosomal RNA, 556 nt
Filed under: Hanseniaspora uvarum
Lineage: Eukaryota; Fungi; Ascomycota; Saccharomycetes; Saccharomycodales; Saccharomycodaceae
Description: partial large subunit ribosomal RNA
Source: RNAcentral